This 352-nucleotide long non-coding RNA is filed under the name Capsicum annuum. RNAcentral describes it as "long non-coding RNA (CANN_LNC013396)". Lineage: Eukaryota; Viridiplantae; Streptophyta; Magnoliopsida; Solanales; Solanaceae. The record is from RNAcentral.
UAUCUUUUAAGGUUGAUUUUAUUAUAAUAUUUUGUAGUUGUUUGUUUUAGUCUUAGUAGUUCUUGCAUAUUUUUAUUAAGAAAUUCUAUAUAUUUUAUAUCUUUAUUUUCCAUGUAUUUGUCUAUAUUUAUUUUUAUCUGUUUUUCUAGUAAUUGUAUGUUUUUCAUAUCUUUUUCUAAAAAUUUUAUGUAAUUUGUCAUGAUAGGUAUUUGUAAGAGUAGUUAGGUAGGUAUGGUAUAUAAUUUACUCUAGUCAUGUAAUAUUCACCAAAUGCUUUUUCUAAAUAUGACUUUUCUUAUAUCUGCUACUUUUAUAUCUUUAAGUGCAUACAAAAUAAGUAUUUUAAAUUUAU